RNAcentral lists this long non-coding RNA (1097 nucleotides) under Brachypodium distachyon (stiff brome). RNAcentral describes it as "long non-coding RNA (BDIS_LNC003726)". The record is from RNAcentral. Lineage: Eukaryota; Viridiplantae; Streptophyta; Magnoliopsida; Poales; Poaceae.
CACUCCUCCUCCCAUGGUCGUAGUCCCGCACUCCUCUCUCGUCCGCGCGCCCGGUCGCCGGCCUCCUCCCUCCUCGGCGCGCCCCGGCCCCAGUCUCCUCCCUCCUCCGCCCACGGCCUCGAGACUGCCGGAUCCGGCCCCAGCCUCCUUCGUCCUCCGUCCGCAGCCUGGAGGCCGCCGGAUCCGGCCCCGCCAUGCACCGGCCUCCUCCAUCCUCCGCCCACGACAUGGAGGCCGCAGGAUCCGUCCGCGGCGGAUCCGGACGCCCUGACGCCACCGGCCUCGAUCUGGCCGACCUGAGGUAUGGGCUUCUUUUCUCCUCUCCGGUUCUCUCUCUUCUUUUCUCUCUCUGGUUCUCUCUCUCUUCUUCCCGUGCUGCAGAGCUGGCCAUCCUUGGCCGCCUCUCUCCCCGCCGCAGGUGCUCCCUCCCUCUCUCGAUCUGUUUUCUCUAUCUCUCUCUCUCUAUCCCGGUUUCUCUAACUACUCUCCUGUAGAUGGCCAUGGAGGUGAGGAGUUCGGCACCUCCUCCGCCGAGGAGACCGACCUGGAGCCACUGCAGAUAGCCUACUUUUUUGAAUUUGGUUCUUCCUAAUUUUUUUGAGAGGUGGUUCUCUGUAAUUAGCGUUGAUCAUCAUGUGAAAUUUCAGGCCCGUGGCCUUCCUUUUGUUUUAAAUCUUCAAAUCGGUAUCAUUGUUUGUGUGCUUGGAUUCACGAUUAAAUCGAGAUCUCAAAAAUGUGAAAAAUCAGGUUGAUGGAAGUAAACAAUGUAAGUCCUGAUGAUGUUACUGUAGCAAGCGCUCUUGAUGCUCAUGCUUCGCUCUUGCUGCUUGUGCUUCGUUAGGGCGAUUAGAUGUUGGCAUCAAGUUGCAUGAGCUUGCCAGAAGUAAGGAAUUCAUCAGAUACAUCGUGGUUGCAAACGCGCUCCUCCUGCUCUGCUUCAGUCCGUGUGGUGAUAUGUGGUUGUGUCUAUGUAUCUUGCUAUGUAGAGGUUGGGGUUUAGUCUUAUGUGGAUUAUCCACUUGAUAUGACAACAAGUUUAAUCAUAAACUCUGUGUGAUGAUUGAUUAAUACUCAUUGUUCCGUUCAUUUUGACUGAA